This 706-nucleotide ribosomal RNA is filed under the name Pratylenchus hexincisus. RNAcentral's name for it is "eukaryotic LSU rRNA". It matches the Rfam family "Eukaryotic large subunit ribosomal RNA", at positions 371 to 912 of the family's 3401-position model. The record is from RNAcentral. Lineage: Eukaryota; Metazoa; Nematoda; Chromadorea; Rhabditida; Pratylenchidae.
GCACUUUGAAGAGAGAGUUAAAGAGGACGUGAAACCGAUGAGAUGGAAACGGACAGAGCUAGCGUAUCUGGCUUGCAUUCAGCUUAUGCGGUCGCUACCGAUGCGUCGCUGACCUCCAGAUUGGGGCUUUGACUAGUCGGUCGGUGGCUGUGUUGUGCAUUUGCAAGUGGAGUGCGUCGAGGCAUCUGGGAUGGCGGAAUGAACUUGGCUUUGAGGCCAGCUUGCUGGUACCCGGGCCUGGGGAUUUCUGUUCGUUCUAGGUGUUUUUACGGUCGAACAAGGCUUUGCGAGCCUGGUUGGGUGCCGAGCUGGGUGUCGGUGGCGGUCGCAUGCGACACGUACUGUGCCACCAGUUCGGUCCUGGCCGAGCUCACUCCAUGUUCAAUCUCGGCGUAAAAGCUGGUCAUCUUUCCGACCCGUCUUGAAACACGGACCAAGGAGUUUAUCGUGUGCGCGAGUCAUUGGGCGUUGAAAACCCAAAGGCGCAAUGAAAGUAAAUGUAUCCGCUCGGAACUGAUGUGCGACCCUGGUCACUGCGGUGGCCAGGAGCAGCAUGGCCCCAUCCUGACUGCUUGCAGUGGGGUGGAGGAAGAGCGUACGCGAUGAGACCCGAAAGAUGGUGAACUAUUCCUGAGCAGGAUAAAGCCAGAGGAAACUCUGGUGGAAGUCCGAAGCGAUUCUGACGUGCAAAUCGAUCGUCUGACUU